This 341-nucleotide small nuclear RNA is filed under the name Homo sapiens (human). Its description in RNAcentral is "7SK RNA". It matches the Rfam family "7SK RNA". From Rfam's summary of the family: 7SK was discovered as an abundant small nuclear RNA in the mid-70s but a possible function has only recently been suggested. Lineage: Eukaryota; Metazoa; Chordata; Mammalia; Primates; Hominidae. The record is from Rfam by way of RNAcentral.
GACUAUGAGGGCAACCUGGCUGUGACAUCUGUCACUCCAUUAAUCUCCAGGGUUAAUUCAGCUGGCUAAUUUAGCCGAGUAAACUGGUUGGCUAGGCAGUUGUUCCCUUCUUCCCUCACUGCCCCAUGUGUGUCCCUCCCAAAGCUGCAUGCUUGGUGGAAGAGAACAACAUUCCCUGAUACAGUAGAACUUUUUUUGGUCAAGAGUAUAUUUGUAGCUAUAGUCCCCAGCUAGAACAUCCUCUAAGCAAGCUCUUAAGGUCCAUUUGUAGGAGAACAUAGGGUACUCAAACCCAUGACUCCAGAGACAUCCAAGAGAAGUGGAUGUGGACAGUCUGCACU